AGAAUCAACGCUGGCGGCGUGCCUAACACAUGCAAGUCGAACGAGAAAGUGGAGCAAUCCAUGAGUACAGUGGCGUACGGGUGAGUAACACGUGACUAACCUACCCUCGAGUGGGGAAUAACCUCGGGAAACCGGGGCUAAUACCGCAUAACAUCUUCGGAUCAAAUGCGUAAGCAGCUUGAGGAGGGGGUCGCGGCCGAUUAGCUAGUUGGCGGGGUAAUGGCCCACCAAGGCAAUGAUCGGUAGCCGGCCUGAGAGGGCGCACGGCCACACUGGAACUAAAACACGGUCCAGACUCCUACGGGAGGCAGCAGUGGGGAAUUUUGCGCAAUGGGGGAAACCCUGACGCAGCAACGCCGCGUGGAGGAUGAAGCCCCUUGGGGUGUAAACUCCUUUCGAUCGGGACGAUUAUGACGGUACCGGAUGAAGAAGCACCGGCUAACUCUGCGCCAGCAGCCGC
RNAcentral lists this ribosomal RNA (460 nucleotides) under uncultured bacterium. RNAcentral's name for it is "SSU rRNA". It matches the Rfam family "Bacterial small subunit ribosomal RNA", at positions 26 to 518 of the family's 1533-position model. The record is from RNAcentral.